UACGAAGGGGGCUAGCGUUGUUCGGAAUUACUGGGCGUAAAGCGCACGUAGGCGGAUUGGCAAGUCAGGGGUGAAAUCCCGGAGCUCAACUUCGGAACUGCCUUUGAUACUGCCUGUCUAGAGUCCGGAAGAGGUGGGUGGAAUUCCUAGUGUAGAGGUGAAAUUCGCAGAUAUUGGGAAGAACACCGGUGGCGAAUGCGGCCCACUGGUCAGGUACUGACGCUUAGGUGCGAAAGCGUGGGGAGCAAACAGG
RNAcentral lists this ribosomal RNA (253 nucleotides) under uncultured bacterium. RNAcentral's name for it is "partial 16S ribosomal RNA". It matches the Rfam family "Bacterial small subunit ribosomal RNA", at positions 524 to 776 of the family's 1533-position model. The record is from RNAcentral.